This 254-nucleotide ribosomal RNA is filed under the name uncultured bacterium. Its description in RNAcentral is "partial 16S ribosomal RNA". It matches the Rfam family "Bacterial small subunit ribosomal RNA", at positions 524 to 776 of the family's 1533-position model. RNAcentral also lists the same sequence under 1 other name. The record is from RNAcentral.
CACGUAGGGGGCGAGCGUUGUCCGGAUUUAUUGGGCGUAAAGAGCUCGUAGGCGGUUCGAUAAGUCGGGUGUGAAAACUCUGGGCUCAACUCAGAGACGCCACCCGAUACUGUUGUGACUUGAGUCCGGUAGGGGAGUAUGGAAUUCCCAGUGUAGCGGUGAAAUGCGCAGAUAUUGGGAGGAACACCAGUGGCGAAGGCGGUACUCUGGGCCGGAACUGACGCUGAGGAGCGAAAGCGUGGGUAGCGAACAGG